RNAcentral lists this ribosomal RNA (627 nucleotides) under uncultured bacterium. RNAcentral describes it as "bacterial SSU rRNA". It matches the Rfam family "Bacterial small subunit ribosomal RNA", at positions 68 to 676 of the family's 1533-position model. The record is from RNAcentral.
GAUUUACUUCGGUAAUGACGUUGGGAAAGCGAGCGGCGGAUGGGUGAGUAACACGUGGGGAACCUGCCCCUAAGUCUGGGAUACCAUUUGGAAACAGGUGCUAAUACCGGAUAAUAAAGCAGAUCGCAUGAUCAGCUUUUGAAAGGCGGCGUAAGCUGUCGCUAAGGGAUGGCCCCGCGGUGCAUUAGCUAGUUGGUAAGGUAACGGCUUACCAAGGCGACGAUGCAUAGCCGAGUUGAGAGACUGAUCGGCCACAUUGGGACUGAGACACGGCCCAAACUCCUACGGGAGGCAGCAGUAGGGAAUCUUCCACAAUGGACGCAAGUCUGAUGGAGCAACGCCGCGUGAGUGAAGAAGGUUUUCGGAUCGUAAAGCUCUGUUGUUGGUGAAGAAGGAUAGAGGUAGUAACUGGCCUUUAUUUGACGGUAAUCAACCAGAAAGUCACGGCUAACUACGUGCCAGCAGCCGCGGUAAUACGUAAGUGGCAAGCGUUGUCCGGAUUUAUUGGGCGUAAAGCGAGCGCAGGCGGAAAAAUAAGUCUAAUGUGAAAGCCCUCGGCUUAACCGAGGAACUGCAUCGGAAACUGUUUUUCUUGAGUGCAGAAGAGGAGAGUGGAACUCCAUGUGU